UGGGGAAUAUUGCACAAUGGGGGAAACCCUGAUGCAGCGACGCCGCGUGAACGAAGAAGGUAUUCGUAUCGUAAAGUUCUGCCCUAUGGGAAGAUAAUGACAGUACCAUAGAAGAAAGCUCCGGCUAAAUACGUGCCAGCAGCCGCGGUAAUACGUAUGGAGCGAGCGUUGUUCGGAAUUAUUGGGCGUAAAGGGUACGCAGGCGGUUUAAUAAGUCGAAUGUUAAAGAUCGGGGCUCAACCCCGCAAAGCAUUGGAAACUGAUAAACUUGAGUAGUGGAGAGGAAAGUGGAAUUCCUAGUGUAGUGGUGAAAUACGUAGAUAUUAGGAGGAAUACCAGUAGCGAAGGCGACUUUCUGGACACAAACUGACGCUGAGGUACGAAAGCGUGGGGAGCAAACAGG
RNAcentral lists this ribosomal RNA (403 nucleotides) under bacterium. Its description in RNAcentral is "partial 16S ribosomal RNA". It matches the Rfam family "Bacterial small subunit ribosomal RNA", at positions 355 to 776 of the family's 1533-position model. The record is from RNAcentral.